UCCAUACAAAAACCAUCAUAUAUUCAUUCAAAAUUCCAAUUACAUACAUACUUUUAAAUUCAUCUUCCAAUACAUUCAUACAUUCCAACCACACAAGAUCCUUAAUUCUAGUAUAUAACAUCACAAUGCAUAUCUUGAAUCAAGAAAGAAUAAGGAAAAAGAGCUUGGAGCUUGGCAACCCAUCAUUGCAUCUUCCUAGGCAUCCAUUC
RNAcentral lists this long non-coding RNA (209 nucleotides) under Lathyrus oleraceus (garden pea). Its description in RNAcentral is "Pisum sativum (pea) long non-coding RNA (PSAT_LNC000354)". The record is from RNAcentral. Lineage: Eukaryota; Viridiplantae; Streptophyta; Magnoliopsida; Fabales; Fabaceae.